RNAcentral lists this long non-coding RNA (898 nucleotides) under Equus caballus (horse). RNAcentral's name for it is "lncRNA (ENSECAG00000046138.1)". The record is from RNAcentral. Lineage: Eukaryota; Metazoa; Chordata; Mammalia; Perissodactyla; Equidae.
AGACCCCUGGGCUAACAGCCCAAGGGAUGCACCUCAAUGGCCCCCACCGGUGUCCAUAUCAGCACGCCUGGACCAGCUCAGAACAACAGCCCCCACCAAUGUCUCAGUCUCUGGAGAGGAUCCUCCUCUCACCAAGAUGCCCCCAGAGCCCACCAGGGAUUAAAACACUUAUCUCACAACAUCUUUGGGAGGAUCAAAUGAAAUAAUAAAUGUGAAAGUGCUUUGUCAACCAAAGACUGCUAUAAAAAUAAAUGUAGACCGAGGUUGAGGCUAUCGUUGCAGAAUUGUAAUCUCUGCACUUGAAAUUGAUGUGGAUAUGCAAGCAAAUGAAAGGAAAAUGAAAGAUUUUUUCCCCUGGAAGAGACCCCUCUUCGCCCAUCACUACAUGUCAGACUGAAGAAACAAGGAUGCUGAAUCCCCAGCUUAAUGCCAUCCCCUCUCGAACUAGGAACUCAUUUGUUCAAACUAAGAUUUCAAGAUGAAACUCCAAUCAGCAGUCCCCGUGAAAGUAUCAUUUCAAUCCAAAGAUUUUUUGAAGGAUGGACUGAUUAAAUAAUGAGUUUAGAAAUAUAAAUAAAGAAGUAGGACAGCAAAGUAAAAAAAUAAUCCCCUGGGAUUUAGAAUUGAUACAUUUAGGGCCUAAAAAUAAGAAAAAAAAAAUUAAAUAGCAAGUACUCCAAGAGUGUAAAGUUCUUAAAGACAUUAACAAUGGAUAUGGUUUUACUGUUUAAUUCCCCCUUGGACUAGCCCCAUUCUCCUCCCUGAGAGAAUGAUGGCUUCUCUUAAUUGAAGGCAGCGUAGAUGUGACUUUUCGGAGUGGGGAAGAGAAUAAAUCAAAAGGUACACCCCUGUCCUCCUUAAAAAAUAUUCUUCACCUGUCCUUGAAAUUUUAGGCUUU